GGUCGUAUGUGCGGCGUGCUACGAGCGUCGCGUUUGCUUGAUCGUGUGUUUUUGUGUUUGCUGUUAUGAAGUAGGUCGCAGUUAGCGUGCACAGAAGUGCCUGAAAAUACCUUGUGUCAUGCUGCAAACUCGCCGUAUGCGUGGCGCGCCAGGCAAAUGUGGCCCAACGAUUUUAUGCCGUGGAGUGCGGCCUCUUUGUUCUCGUUCUGGAAAGUUGGGUGGACGUCGCAAAGAAAUAAUGUGUGUUAGCGCGCCUCAGCUCGUCCACUACGCAGCGGCAUGUAUGCGGGGAGUAACAUCGUCGACGCAGCACCGGCAACUUGGAGAGUGCUUCGCGACCGCGUCGUACCAUUCAAAAGUGGCGAGGCUGUGACCCAUAACAGUGCCUACAUAACGGAGGAGCCACCAGACCCCUUGGCUAUGCCUGCCAUAGUGCAACGUGUAAUCUGGAUGGUCGGGUCAGGUACACCUAGGAAAUGUUGUAUACAUUGGCAACGAUAACUGGGGCCUGCUCCAGUGCCAUCGCCGGGAUUCCCUGUUCUGCAAAGAACUGGCAUAACUGAUGUGGGGAGCCCUGGCGCUCGGCGUAAGAGCGUCACAGGGGCUCCUUGUCGGUGCUUGAAGGACGGAAAUGCUGUUGAGAAGCCGACAUUGAG
This is a long non-coding RNA of Dermacentor silvarum, 656 nucleotides long. RefSeq lists it as uncharacterized. The transcript is spliced from 3 exons. The record is from RefSeq and is a predicted model, not a curated record. NCBI's taxonomy places the organism in Eukaryota, Metazoa, Arthropoda, Arachnida, Ixodida, Ixodidae.